GCCGGAUUAGCUAGUUGGUAGGGUAACGGCCUACCAAGGCGACGAUCCGUAGCUGGUCUGAGAGGACGACCAGCCACACUGGGACUGAGACACGGCCCAGACUCCUACAGGAGGCAGCAGUGGGGAAUAUUGGACAAUGGGGGAAACCCUGAUCCAGCGACGCCGCGUGUGUGAAGAAGGCCUGCGGGUUGUAAAGCACUUUUAGUGGGGAUGAAAAGCUCAGGGAUAACACCCCUGGGUCUUGACCUAACCCACAGAAAAAGCACCGGCUAACUCUGUGCCAGCAGCCGCGGUAAUACAGAGGGUGCAAGCGUUAAUCGGAAUUACUGGGCGUAAAGCGUGCGUAGACGGUUAUGUAAGUCGGGUGUGAAAGCCCCGGGCUCAACCUGGGAAUGCCAUUCGAGACUGCAUAGCUAGGGUGCGGAAGAGGGAAGCGGAAUUUCCGGUGUAGCGGUGAAAUGCGUAGAUAUCGGAAGGAACACCAGUGGCGAAAGCGGCUUCCUGGUCCAGCACCGACGUUCACGCACGAAAGCGUGGGGAGCA
This 543-nucleotide ribosomal RNA is filed under the name uncultured bacterium. Its description in RNAcentral is "bacterial SSU rRNA". It matches the Rfam family "Bacterial small subunit ribosomal RNA", at positions 235 to 770 of the family's 1533-position model. The record is from RNAcentral.